This 580-nucleotide ribosomal RNA is filed under the name uncultured Karlodinium sp. Its description in RNAcentral is "SSU rRNA". It matches the Rfam family "Eukaryotic small subunit ribosomal RNA", at positions 505 to 1091 of the family's 1831-position model. The record is from RNAcentral. Lineage: Eukaryota; Dinophyceae; Gymnodiniales; Kareniaceae.
GUAAUUGGAAUGAGUAGAAUUUAAAUCCCUUUUCGAGUAUCAAUUGGAGGGCAAGUCUGGUGCCAGCAGCCGCGGUAAUUCCAGCUCCAAUAGCGUAUAUUAAAGUUGUUGCGGUUAAAAAGCUCGUAGUUGGAUUUCUGCCGAGGACGACCGGUCCGCCCUCUGGGUGCGUAUCUGGCUCGGCCUGGGCAUCUUCUUGGAGAACGUAUCUGCACUUGACUGUGUGGUGCGGUAUCCAGGGCUUUUACUUUGAGGAAAUUAGAGUGUUUCAAGCAGGCUCACGCCUUGAAUACAUUAGCAUGGAAUAAUAAGAUAGGACCUCGGUUCUAUUUUGUUGGUUUCUAGAGCUGAGGUAAUGAUUAAUAGGGAUAGUUGGGGGUAUUCGUAUUCAAUUGUCAGAGGUGAAAUUCUUGGAUUUAUGGAAGACGAACUACUGCGAAAGCAUUUACCAAGGAUGUUUUCAUUAAUCAAGAACGAAAGUUAGGGGAUCGAAGAUGAUUAGAUACCAUCGUAGUCUUAACCAUAAACUAUGCCGACUAGGGAUUGGUGGACGUUCGUAAUGACUCCAUCAGCACCUUAU